UGGGGAAUAUUGGACAAUGGGGGCAACCCUGAUCCAGCCAUGCCGCGUGAGUGAUGAAGGCCUUCGGGUUGUAAAGCUCUUUUGGCGGGGACGAUGAUGACGGUACCCGCAGAAUAAGCCCCGGCUAACUUCGUGCCAGCAGCCGCGGUAAGACGAAGGGGGCUAGCGUUGUUCGGAAUUACUGGGCGUAAAGCGAGUGUAGGCGGUUGCCGUAGUCAGGUGUGAAAGCCUUGAGCUCAACUCAAGAAAUGCACUUGAUACUGGGUGACUAGAGGACCGGAGAGGAUAGUGGAAUUCCCAGUGUAGUGGUGAAAUACGUAGAGAUUGGGAAGAACACCAGUGGCGAAGGCGGCUAUCUGGACGGUUACUGACGCUAAGACUCGAAAGCGUGGGGAGCAAACA
This 402-nucleotide ribosomal RNA is filed under the name Caulobacter vibrioides. RNAcentral's name for it is "partial 16S ribosomal RNA". It matches the Rfam family "Bacterial small subunit ribosomal RNA", at positions 355 to 774 of the family's 1533-position model. The record is from RNAcentral. Lineage: Bacteria; Pseudomonadati; Pseudomonadota; Alphaproteobacteria; Caulobacterales; Caulobacteraceae. RNAcentral also lists the same sequence under 1 other name.